RNAcentral lists this ribosomal RNA (491 nucleotides) under uncultured bacterium. RNAcentral describes it as "partial 16S ribosomal RNA". It matches the Rfam family "Bacterial small subunit ribosomal RNA", at positions 29 to 507 of the family's 1533-position model. The record is from RNAcentral.
AGUGAACGCUGGCGGUAGGCCUAACACAUGCAAGUCGAACGGCAGCACAGUAAGAGCUUGCUCUUACGGGUGGCGAGUGGCGGACGGGUGAGGAAUACAUCGGAAUCUACUUUUUCGUGGGGAUAACGUAGGGAAACUUACGCUAAUACCGCAUACGACCUACGGGUGAAAGCAGGGGAUCUUCGGACCUUGCGCGAUUGAAUGAGCCGAUGUCGGAUUAGCUAGUUGGCGGGGUAAGGGCCCACCAAGGCGACGAUCCGUAGCUGGUCUGAGAGGAUGAUCAGCCACACUGGAACUGAGACACGGUCCAGACUCCUACGGGAGGCAGCAGUGGGGAAUAUUGGACAAUGGGCGCAAGCCUGAUCCAGCCAUACCGCGUGGGUGAAGAAGGCCUUCGGGUUGUAAAGCCCUUUUGUUGGGAAAGAAAAGCAGCAGGUUAAUACCCCGCUGUUCUGACGGUACCCAAAGAAUAAGCACCGGCUAACUUCGUG